RNAcentral lists this ribosomal RNA (115 nucleotides) under Hyaloscypha leuconica var. bulbopilosa. Its description in RNAcentral is "partial large subunit ribosomal RNA". Lineage: Eukaryota; Fungi; Ascomycota; Leotiomycetes; Helotiales; Hyaloscyphaceae. The record is from RNAcentral.
UUGUAGAAGAUGCUUUGGGUGUGGCUCCGGUCUAAGUUCCUUGGAACAGGACGUCAUAGAGGGUGAGAAUCCCGUACGUGACUGGGUGCCUUCGCUCGUGUAAAGCUCUUUCGAC